RNAcentral lists this long non-coding RNA (203 nucleotides) under Capsicum annuum. RNAcentral describes it as "long non-coding RNA (CANN_LNC002280)". The record is from RNAcentral. Lineage: Eukaryota; Viridiplantae; Streptophyta; Magnoliopsida; Solanales; Solanaceae.
GAAAAGAGAGAAAAUACUCUAUAAUAUUAAGUGAAAAUGUGAGAGAAGAGCGGAAGAGUGUGAGUAUACACGGGAAUAGAAAAAAAAAUAAAAAAAUAUUUUGAUAGAAACGAAUGAAGAUGUGAGUUUAUAAAAAUUUUAAUAUAAAUCAAUGAAGAUGUUAGAUCGUGAAAAUUUUGAUACAAAAAGAUAAAGAUGUGAAA